Molecule: unclassified non-coding RNA, 837 nt
Filed under: Hevea brasiliensis (rubber tree)
Lineage: Eukaryota; Viridiplantae; Streptophyta; Magnoliopsida; Malpighiales; Euphorbiaceae
Source: RNAcentral
GCAUCAAAACGAGCUGAAAAUAUGGAUGCCAUAGUAAAAGCUGCAGAGUUGGCGGCUGAAGCUGUGUCUCAAGCUGGGAAAAUAGUGGCUAUGGGUGAUCCUUUGCCGUUGAGUGAGCUUGUAGCUGCUGGUCCAGGGGGUUAUUGGAAAGUAGGACAAGUAACUUCUGAGCCGGUUUCAAAAUCAAAUGACAUUGGUAGAGAAAAUGUGAAUGUGGACAGUGGUGGAGGUUCAGAUACUUCUACCGGGCAGUUAAAGGAGAUUGCAUCAGAUGAGAAAGAAAAUCAGAUAACUGACCUUGGGAAGUCACCUGCUUCUAGAGACAUAUCUAGCGAGGAACAUGGGAGAUUUUUAGAUGGUGUCUCUGGCUCUUGUGCGUCCACUGCAAAGGUUGCCAAAGGGCAAAAGGGCCGCAAGGCUUCUGAUUUGGCCAAAACUAUUGGGGUGGUCCCUGAAUCUGAGAAUGGAGCCAGAUGUUCCAUUGUUCAGAACGAGUAUGGAAAGGUGGAAACUCUAAAAGAGAAUAGCAUUAAGGAGAAUUCCAUUGUCGAGGUUUUUAAAGAUGGAAGUGGAUUUAAGGCAGCUUGGUUCCCAGCAAAAGUUUUGAGUUUAAAGGACGGGAAGGCUUAUGUGAGUUACACCGAGCUUACAUCAGGUGAAGGCUCAGAAAAGCUAAAGGAGUGGGUUCCACUUGAAGGUGAAGGAGAUGAGGCACCCAAAAUGCGCGUUGCCCGUCCUCAUACUGCCAUGCCAUUUGAAGGCACAAGGAAGAGAAGGAGAGCUGCAAUGGGGGACUAUGAUUGGUCUAUUGGUGAUAGAGUUGAUGCAUGGAUACAA